GAUUAACGCUGGCGGCGUGCCUAACACAUGCAAGUCGAGCGGCAGCGAGUUUUACACUGAAUUCUGGAAGCUUCUAGUUGAAAGAGAAGAUUUAUUCAAGAAUUUUGUGUAAAAUGUCGGCGAGCGGCGGACGGCUGAGUAACGCGUGGGAACGUACCCCAAAGUGAGGGAUAACGCAUCGAAAGGUGUGCUAAUACCGCAUAUGGUCUUCGGAUUAAAGCCUUCGGGCGCUUUGGGAACGGCCUGCGUAAGAUUAGAUAGUUGGUGGGGUAAUGGCCUACCAAGUCGACGAUCUUUAACUGGUUUGAGAGGAUGAUCAGUCAGACUGGAACUGAGACACGGUCCAGACUCCUACGAGAGGCAGCAGUGAGGAAUCUUCCACAAUGGGCGAAAGCCUGAUGGAGCAACGCCGCGUGCAGGAUGAAGGCCUUCGGGUUGUAAACUGCUUUUAUAAGUGAGGAUUAUGACAGUAACUUAUGAAUAAGGAUCGGCUAACUACGUG
RNAcentral lists this ribosomal RNA (502 nucleotides) under uncultured bacterium. RNAcentral describes it as "partial 16S ribosomal RNA". It matches the Rfam family "Bacterial small subunit ribosomal RNA", at positions 28 to 507 of the family's 1533-position model. The record is from RNAcentral.